RNAcentral lists this transfer RNA (85 nucleotides) under Bacillota bacterium. RNAcentral describes it as "Firmicutes bacterium (anaerobic digester metagenome) tRNA-Leu". It matches the Rfam family "tRNA". Rfam says of the family: Transfer RNA (tRNA) molecules are approximately 80 nucleotides in length. Their secondary structure includes four short double-helical elements and three loops (D, anti-codon, and T loops). Lineage: Bacteria; Bacillati; Bacillota. The record is from RNAcentral.
GCGGGAGUGGCGGAAUAGGCAGACGCGCAAGGCUUAGGCCCUUGUGCCGCAAGGCGUGGGGGUUCAAAUCCCUUCUCCCGCACCA